RNAcentral lists this ribosomal RNA (574 nucleotides) under Sebacina cf. incrustans Y129B. Its description in RNAcentral is "eukaryotic LSU rRNA". It matches the Rfam family "Eukaryotic large subunit ribosomal RNA", at positions 63 to 616 of the family's 3401-position model. Lineage: Eukaryota; Fungi; Basidiomycota; Agaricomycetes; Sebacinales; Sebacinaceae. The record is from RNAcentral.
AACUAACAAGGAUUCCCCUAGUAACGGCGAGUGAAGAGGGAAGAGCUCAAAUUUUGAAUCUGGCGUCUUCGGCGUCCGAGUUGUAAUCUAAAGAAGUGUUUUCCGUGACGGACCGUGCAUAAGUCUCCUGGAAUGGAGCGUCAUAGAGGGUGAGAAUCCCGUAUAUGGCACGGACUCCCGUUACUUCUGUGAUACACUCUCAACGAGUCGAGUUGUUUGGGAAUGCAGCUCCAAAUGGGUGGUAAAUGCCAUCUAAAGCUAAAUACUGGCGAGAGACCGAUAGCGAACAAGUACCGUGAGGGAAAGAUGAAAAGCACUUUGGAAAGAGAGUGAAACAGUACGUGAAAUUGUUGAAAGGGAAACGCUUGAAGUCAGUCGUGCCCUUUGGGAUUCAGCCUUGCUUCUGCUUGGUUUACUUCCCUUUGGGUGGGUCAACAUCAGUUUUGGUCGGAGGAGAAAGGCUUGGGGAAGGUAGCAACAUUCGUGUUGUGUUAUAGCCCCUUGUUGUAUACUUCGACUGGGAUUGAGGACCGCAGCACGCCUCUGGCCGGGGUUCGCCCACGUACGUGCUUAG